RNAcentral lists this transfer RNA (83 nucleotides) under Lasius niger. It matches the Rfam family "tRNA". From Rfam's summary of the family: Transfer RNA (tRNA) molecules are approximately 80 nucleotides in length. Their secondary structure includes four short double-helical elements and three loops (D, anti-codon, and T loops). Further hydrogen bonds mediate the characteristic L-shaped molecular structure. tRNAs have two regions of fundamental functional importance: the anti-codon, which is responsible for specific mRNA codon recognition, and the 3' end, to which the tRNAs corresponding amino acid is attached (by aminoacyl-tRNA synthetases). tRNAs cope with the degeneracy of the genetic code in two manners: having more than one tRNA (with a specific anti-codon) for a particular amino acid; and 'wobble' base-pairing, i.e. permitting non-standard base-pairing at the 3rd anti-codon position. The record is from Rfam by way of RNAcentral. Lineage: Eukaryota; Metazoa; Arthropoda; Insecta; Hymenoptera; Formicidae. RNAcentral also lists the same sequence under 1 other name.
GCGGCCGUGGCGGAAUGGUAGACGCGCAACCUUGAGGUGGUUGUGGGGGCAACCCCGUGGAAGUUCAAGUCUUCUCGGCCGCA